UUUAUGGAGAGUUUGAUCCUGGCUCAGGAUGAACGCUGGCGGCGUGCCUAAUACAUGCAAGUCGAGCGAACUGACGAGGAGCUUGCUCCUUUGACGUUAGCGGCGGACGGGUGAGUAACACGUGGGUAACCUACCUAUAAGACUGGAAUAACUCCGGGAAACCGGGGCUAAUGCCGGAUAACAUAUCGAACCGCAUGGUUCGAUAGUGAAAGACGGUCUUGCUGUCACUUAUAGAUGGACCCGCGCCGUAUUAGCUAGUUGGUGAGGUAACGGCUCACCAAGGCAACGAUACGUAGCCGACCUGAGAGGGUGAUCGGCCACACUGGAACUGAGACACGGUCCAGACUCCUACGGGAGGCAGCAGUAGGGAAUCUUCCGCAAUGGGCGAAAGCCUGACGGAGCAACGCCGCGUGAGUGAUGAAGGUCUUCGGAUCGUAAAGCUCUGUUGUUAGGGAAGAACAAAUGUGUAAGUAACUGUGCACAUCUUGACGGUACCUAACCAGAAAGCCACGGCUAACUACGUGCCAGCAGCCGCGGUAAUACGUAGGUGGCAA
RNAcentral lists this ribosomal RNA (554 nucleotides) under Staphylococcus chromogenes. Its description in RNAcentral is "bacterial SSU rRNA". It matches the Rfam family "Bacterial small subunit ribosomal RNA", at positions 1 to 537 of the family's 1533-position model. Lineage: Bacteria; Bacillati; Bacillota; Bacilli; Caryophanales; Staphylococcaceae. The record is from RNAcentral.